UACGGAGGAUGCGAGCGUUAUCCGGAUUUAUUGGGUUUAAAGGGUGCGUAGGCGGGCUUUUAAGUCAGCGGUAAAAAUUCGGGGCUCAACCCCGUCGUGCCGUUGAAACUGAUGUUCUUGAGUGGGCGAGAAGUAUGCGGAAUGCGUGGUGUAGCGGUGAAAUGCAUAGAUAUCACGCAGAACACCGAUUGCGAAGGCAGCUUACCAAGCUACUUCUGACGUUGAGGCACGAAAGCGUGGGGAGCAAACAGG
This 252-nucleotide ribosomal RNA is filed under the name uncultured Bacteroidales bacterium. RNAcentral describes it as "partial 16S ribosomal RNA". It matches the Rfam family "Bacterial small subunit ribosomal RNA", at positions 524 to 776 of the family's 1533-position model. The record is from RNAcentral. Lineage: Bacteria; Pseudomonadati; Bacteroidota; Bacteroidia; Bacteroidales.